CAUUAGAUGGCCGAAAGUUAAGCAAUGGAAUUUUAAAUCAUUUUAUAUUAAAGUAACGUUUAUUUCUAAUGA
This 72-nucleotide transfer RNA is filed under the name Podagrica fuscicornis. RNAcentral describes it as "tRNA-Lys". The record is from RNAcentral. Lineage: Eukaryota; Metazoa; Arthropoda; Insecta; Coleoptera; Chrysomelidae.